Small nuclear RNA from Rhopalosiphum padi (bird cherry-oat aphid), 145 nucleotides. RefSeq annotates it as U4 spliceosomal RNA. The transcript has a single exon. The record is from RefSeq and is a predicted model, not a curated record. Lineage: Eukaryota; Metazoa; Arthropoda; Insecta; Hemiptera; Aphididae.
AGCUUUGCGCAGUGGUGAUAUCGUAACCAAUUAGGUGCAUCUAAGGUGCGAUUAUUGCUAGUUGAAAAAAACUACAUUAUAAUGACAUAGUAUCAAAAUCCCAGUCCUAAUUAUAACCGAAAUCUUAAGUGGCUUACACACUAAG